Molecule: ribosomal RNA, 494 nt
Filed under: uncultured bacterium
Lineage: Bacteria
Description: bacterial SSU rRNA
Rfam family: Bacterial small subunit ribosomal RNA
Source: RNAcentral
AUUGAACGCUGGCGGCAUGCCUUACACAUGCAAGUCGAACGGUAACAGGGAGCUUGCUCCGCUGACGAGUGGCGAACGGGUGAGUAAUGUAUCGGAACGUACCAUUCAGUGGGGGAUAACGUAGCGAAAGUUACGCUAAUACCGCAUAUUCUGUGAGCAGGAAAGCAGGGGAUCGCAAGACCUUGCGCUGAUUGAGCGGCCGAUAUCAGAUUAGCUAGUUGGUGAGGUAAAGGCUCACCAAGGCGACGAUCUGUAGCGGGUCUGAGAGGAUGAUCCGCCACACUGGAACUGAGACACGGUCCAGACUCCUACGGGAGGCAGCAGUGGGGAAUUUUGGACAAUGGGGGCAACCCUGAUCCAGCCAUGCCGCGUGAGUGAAGAAGGCCUCGGUUGUAAGACUCUUUCGGUCCGGGAAAACGUACGCAUCAGUUAAUAACCUGGUGUGGAGUGAUGGUACCGGAACGUAAGAAGACACCGGCCGUAACUACGUAGCC